GACCGGCUUAGUCGGCUGGCGCCGGCCGCGGGCUUCAAACCCAUCGGGGAACCAUAAACGGUCCACCCUCAGUUCGAUUCUGAAGCCGGCCU
Molecule: transfer RNA, 92 nt
Filed under: Smithella sp. PtaU1.Bin162
Lineage: Bacteria; Pseudomonadati; Thermodesulfobacteriota; Syntrophia; Syntrophales; Smithellaceae
Description: tRNA-Sec
Rfam family: Selenocysteine transfer RNA
Source: RNAcentral